This 3793-nucleotide unclassified non-coding RNA is filed under the name Hevea brasiliensis (rubber tree). The record is from RNAcentral. Lineage: Eukaryota; Viridiplantae; Streptophyta; Magnoliopsida; Malpighiales; Euphorbiaceae.
CUCUCGCGAGCUGCUGCUGCUGCUUCAUCUUCUUCUUCUCUAUUUUUACUGCUAAGAACUGAAGAGUAGAAUUACACUACUUCCUAUCUCUAUACAUGGAGUUGGAGUCUACUUGUAAUCUUGUAUAAUUCGAUUCCUCAGCAUCGCCCUCCACCACUAAAAUCGAAUUCAAGAUGACCCUCCACUCCAUUGUAAUCCAGAAACUACUCAGCACUAAUGCUCAUUUGGGCCGCCGCGUGGUCGCCGAUCACUUCAAGAUCUAUACGUACGGAAUCCGGAACGAGAAGGCCAUAAUCGAUUCCGAUAAAACCCUAAUCUGUCUUCGGAAUGCUGCCAACUUCAUUGCCCAUAUGGCGCGUGACAAGAAAGCCCGUUUUCUAUUCGUCAAUACCAAUCCUCUCUUCGAUGAGAUCGUAGAACAAAUGACCAAGAAGAUUGGGCUGUAUAGCCCUAGAGAUAGCAUUAUGUGGAGAAUGGGCGGUUUUUUAACUAAUAGUUUUAGCCCUAAAAAAUUUAGGUCGAGAAAUAAAAAGGUUUGUUUUGGACCAAUACAACCGCCAGACUGUGUAGUGGUGUUGGAUUCAGAGAGGAAGAGUUCAGUGAUUUUGGAGGCUGAUAGGCUUCAGGUUCCAAUUGUGGCUCUGGUAGAUUCCAAUAUGCCAUGGGAGUACUAUAAGAAGAUUGCGUAUCCUAUUCCUGCCAAUGAUUCAGUUCAAUUUGUGUACUUGUUUUGCAAUCUGAUUACCAAGACUAUCUUGCUCGAGCAGAAGAAGUUGAAAGCAUUGAAGGGAGAUGCUGCUAAAGAAGAGCCAGUUGUUUCUAAGAAAGAAUCCAGGGAGAACACGAAACAGAUUGAGCAAAGUGAGAGCGAGAGCAAAGUCAGCCCUUCAAUUGAUGAACUGCUAGUUGUUCCUUAUCAGAAUUUGGCUCCUCCUCCUUAUGAUAUUGUGGAAAUUAAACAGCUUUUGGAAAAGCUUGUGAUCGUGAAGUUCAAUGGCACUUUGGGGAACCCAGUGGGGUUUAGUGGCCCCAAGUCUGCAAUUGAAGUUUGUAAUGGUUUGACUUCUCUUGACUUAAUUGUUAAUCAAGUUGAGUCUCUCAAUUCCAAGUAUGGGUGCCACAUACCUUUGGUGCUUAUGAAUUCAACCAGAACACAUGAUGAUACCUUGAAGGUUUUGGGGAAAUAUGCCAGGUUAAGUGUUUAUAUUCAUCCUUUUAGCCUGGAAUCUCUUGAUGAUCAGAACAGCGAGGAUAAAUCGUCUACUUCUGAGGAUGCUUCAGCGUUCCUUUCCUUGAUGAAGAGUGGAACUCUUGAUGUAUUAUUGUCACAGGGAAAGGAGUAUGUGCAUGUGAUUAGCUCAGAUAACUCUGCUGCUGCCAUUGAUCCUAAUAUCCUGAACCAUUUGAUCCAAAACAAGAUCGAAUAUUGUAUGGAGGUACAGUGAUGAAUUUCUAUUUAUUUAGCUGCUUUCACUCAGCAAACAUGUUUACUUCUUAAAUCUUUCAGGUGACUCCAACUGCAUCAACUUAUAUGAGGAAUAGUUUGGCUAAUCAGCGUCAAGGAAGGUUUCAGGUUUAGUGUCACCUUAACUUACUAGUUCUUUAUCUAUGUAGUGUGCUUUUUCUUGACACCUUCUGAGUUUUGGGACAUUAGGAUGACCAAAUAUGAUUAUGGUAAAAAAGGCCAGUGAACUUGAAUAAUCAAUCCUUUAAUGCUUAGAAACAUAAUGGUCCAUUGUAUUUGAAGUUCUUUAAUUUUCAGCACAUUGUAGUUGGUAAUAAAAGUUGCAGAACAUGGUAUGAGUUUCAUUUAUUUUUGUGGAAGUCAGUGGAUUAUGAAAGCUGGACCUUAUACUAACGCACCAUGCCAAAUUAACAUGACCUUUAUGUUUGGUUUGUGCAUGAAGUGGUGUUAAUGUUUUUGGUUCACAAUUAUCAUAUGCAUAUAACAUUUUUUAUUAUUAAUGCAAAUCUCACUGUACUUGCCCUGAAAAAUCAACAGUUAAAUUUUGGAGGACACAUUUAUAGCAUACAAUUUUUGCUGAUAUACAAAAUUUUUUCUAAACUAAGCAAGUCUUGCGGUAAAGAGGUGCAUGAGCCUUUUUUUUUUUAAGUAGCUUUCAGUGGCUCUAAAGAGCUAAACUGAGGAAGAAAAUGAUUGAUGUCGUAUAGCCCACCUAAUUUGGGCAUAAAGAUUAAUUGAUUUCAUUUAUAAUGCAAUAUUUAUUGAAAAGUGAUAACAGUCUGACCAUAAAAUAGUAUAAUGACCAUUCUAAUCAAAUUAUGAUGACCUCUUUGUUUAGUUUGUGCAUCAAUGUUAGUUUUGUUUGUAUUUGGCAAUUGCCGUGUGUAACAUUUCCCUGUCAAUGUAAUGCAGCUUCGGGAAAUUACGCAGAAUCCUUCUAAGCAUGUGAGUUAAAAUUUACUUUUACAUUUUCCAUUAGAUAUUUAGGUCUCUUUCUCUCUCUUAGCUGUGGGUUCAGUGGAUGCAUUCUGUACUUUUAAUUUCAUUUUUGAAGAUGACCCUGGGGUUCUAAAGUUUACAUGAUUGGCAUUGUUACAUUAAGCAAUUUUUGUCGGUCUUCAUGGACUCAUUCUUGAUUUUCCUUUCUGUUCUUUUAUGAUUAACAAAAUCAAGUUGAUGGAGGAAUUCAAAUUUAUUGAUACAAGAAGCUUGUGAGUAGCCUAUCCAAUUUGAUAUUUUUCUCUCUGUAAGCUGGCAAGCAUGCUUAACCCUGGACUUAAAACUAUUUUGUAUAGAUGGGUGAAUUUGAAAACCAUUAAAAGGCUUGUUGAUACUGAUGCGCUGAAGGUGGAGAAUCUUUCAAUUGCAAAGUUAUUUGAUCAAGCUAUUGGCAUAAUUGUCCCUCAAUCUCGGUUUGUACCACUAAAUGCAACAUCGGACAUGCUUCUUCUCCAGUCUGAUCUGUAUUCAUCUUCUGAAGGCAUCUUAGUUCGGAAUGCAGCUAGAGAUAACCCUGUAAAUCCAUCUAUUGAAUUAGGACCUGAAUUUGAAAAGGUUAGUGACUUCCUAAGUCGCUUCAAAUCCAUCCCUAGUAUAGCUGGGCUAGAUAACUUGAAGGUGAUUGGUGAUGUGUGGUUUGGAGCUGAUGUGACUCUUAAGGUAUUUUUAGUCUGCUGUGCCUUAUCAUAUUUAUUGCUUUUUCCCCAUAUUGUCUUGUAUGUAGAGUGGAUAGUGGUAUGGUGCCGCUUGAUGUUUCCAAAUACUCACUUAGGAGUUCUUUGAAGUAAUCUAGUUUCUUGAAUCUUGAUUGUCUCGACAUUGCCAAUGAGGGAACUUCACAAGUUCCUGAGAAUGCUAAUCUUCUGGGUCUUUUGGGUCCUGAUUUCUGAGGACUCAUGCUGUGCUUUCUUUCUCUGUAUGUGUGUGUAUACACAUAUAUCAUUGCGGUUUGUUGUAUUUAUGAAUAUUUACAUCAAUAGUUCUUUUGGGAAGCAACAUAUUUACUACAAAUCAUACCUAUGAUGAUAUACCUAUGGUGAUUUCUGUUGGUGACUUUAUCUAUCAACUUAAUGAUGUUCAUUUUUGGCUGAAUGUCUAUGGUGGCUCAUUAUUGAAGGGGAGAGUAAGAAUUGUUGCAAAGCCUGGGCAGAAAUUGGAAAUUCCUGAUGGAGUGGUGCUGGAGAACAAGGAGAUCAGUGAUCCUGCUGACAUUUGAGGAUCCCUCAAAGCCCCAUUUGUUGUUUAUUUAUAGAGAAUAGAAAGAGCUAAAAUUUUGUAAUAAUAGGUGAUUGUUUUGUUUAUAAGCUCCUCUAUCUCAGCAUUUAAAUC